This is a long non-coding RNA of Carya illinoinensis, 646 nucleotides long. RefSeq lists it as uncharacterized. NCBI's taxonomy places the organism in Eukaryota, Viridiplantae, Streptophyta, Magnoliopsida, Fagales, Juglandaceae. The record is from RefSeq and is a predicted model, not a curated record. The transcript is spliced from 3 exons.
AGUUUCUUGGCAACUUCCUUAAUUCAUGUGUUAGUUACACGCACUAAUGAAGGGUGGGCUCAAAUCGCAUGACUACCCUUAAAUCAAGAAUAUAUACUUAAUCUGUUCUCCAAUUGAAAAAUAAAAAUAAAAUCUCAUUCUAAUUACGACGGAUCUUUCUACAAUCUUUCAUAUUCUAAUUAGCUUACGGUUCACGCUCCAAUCACCCCAUGCCACCAAUCAUUUCCACAAAAUUAAAUAGCAACCAUGCAUUAAUCUUGGAAUAUUUAUUCACCUUCCAUGGGGAAUUCUUGAUGGUCACAAGGUGGAAGCUUCUUAAAGGAGCACAUGAAAUCGAAGGAAAAUAAGUUUUGCAGCAGCUUAGGAAAAAAUCUUUGAAGCAUGCUAAGUUAACAGAAGACCAAGAAGUAUGAAAAAACAGAAGACCAAGCUUCGUAGUUUAUUGUUGUGUAUUGGAGUUUGAUUAAAUCAAUGUGUGUUUUGUAAUGAUCUUAGCAAAUUAGUUCAAACAAUGUAAUAUGUAGUGGAGGCCCAUUUAAUCUCAUGAAUCAUGAGGGGAAAUAAUGUAACUGAAAAGAACUUUUUGUGGGAAAUGGACGUCGUUGAUAUAUUUUGGCUUCACUCACAGUCCUAAUAUUUGUUGAAA